This 440-nucleotide ribosomal RNA is filed under the name uncultured bacterium. RNAcentral's name for it is "partial 16S ribosomal RNA". It matches the Rfam family "Bacterial small subunit ribosomal RNA", at positions 338 to 795 of the family's 1533-position model. The record is from RNAcentral.
CCUACGGGUGGCAGCAGUGGGGAAUAUUGCACAAUGGGGGAAACCCUGAUGCAGCGACGCCGCGUGAGUGAAGAAGUAUUUCGGUACGUAAAGCUCUAUUAGCAGGGAAGAAAAAGACGGUACCUGACUAAGAAGCCCCGGCUAACUACGUGCCAGCAGCCGCGGUAAUACGUAGGGGGCAAGCGUUAUCCGGAUUUACUGGGUGUAAAGGGAGGGGAGACGGCAGCGCAAGUCUGGAGUGAAAUCCCCUGGCUUAACCAAGGAACUGCUUUGGAAACUGUGCAGCUAGAGUGCAGGAGAGGUAGGCGGAAUUCCUGGUGUAGCGGUGAAAUGCGUAGAUAUUAGGAGGAACACCAGUGGCGAAGGCGGCUUGCUGGACUGUGACUGACGUUGAGGCUCGAAGGCGUGGGGAGCAAACAGGAUUAGAUACCCCGGUAGUC